Molecule: ribosomal RNA, 451 nt
Filed under: uncultured bacterium
Lineage: Bacteria
Description: bacterial SSU rRNA
Rfam family: Bacterial small subunit ribosomal RNA
Source: RNAcentral
GUGGGGAAUAUUGGACAAUGGGGGGAACCCUGAUCCAGCCAUGCCGCGUGUGUGAAGAAGGCCUUUUGGUUGUAAAGCACUUUAAGCGAGGAGGAGGCUACCGAGAUUAAUACUCUUGGAUAGUGGACGUUACUCGCAGAAUAAGCACCGGCUAACUCUGUGCCAGCAGCCGCGGUAAUACAGAGGGUGCAAGCGUUAAUCGGAUUUACUGGGCGUAAAGCGCGCGUAGGUGGCCAAUUAAGUCAAAUGUGAAAUCCCCGAGCUUAACUUGGGAAUUGCAUUCGAUACUGGUUGGCUAGAGUAUGGGAGAGGAUGGUAGAAUUCCAGGUGUAGCGGUGAAAUGCGUAGAGAUCUGGAGGAAUACCGAUGGCGAAGGCAGCCAUCUGGCCUAAUACUGACACUGAGGUGCGAAAGCAUAGGGAGCAAACAGGAUUAGAAACCCGUGUAGUCC